Molecule: RNA transcript, 989 nt
Organism: Frankliniella occidentalis (western flower thrips)
Lineage: Eukaryota; Metazoa; Arthropoda; Insecta; Thysanoptera; Thripidae
Exons: 3
Source: RefSeq, a predicted model, not a curated record
CUUUUCCUUACUUAUUGGUUUGCUUAUUGUUUACCAAUAUUGUGAUUUUUUUUUAAACAAUUGCCAGAAUAAAUUUACAAACUAAAGUCAAUCACGUUAUUUUUUUACAGCUCGCUGAACUGCUUAACAAAAUGAAAACUGCAAGAGUCCAUCUUGAAGACCUGAGAAAGGAAUUGGCAAAAAAAAGGGAUGAGAACCUUGCAAAUAAGAAAUGGAAUUUUGGCAAGGAAUUGCCAGAUAUCUCGGACUGGGAAAAAUAUCUGGAAGAUCAUGAAACCAUUUCAACUCUUGAAAAGAGUAUGAAAGAACUCGAGGAGGCUUCCGAGGAGUUGUGGCAGGAGCUGGAAGACAGUCCCGGUGCCAGUCCACUCAGAGAAAGAUUUAAUUUCAUGGUUGAAUAUGUGAGCACAUCUCUGCUCUUUCUGGCAGCUCGCCCCGGGGAGUUGGCGAACUGCACAUAUAAAGAGCUAACUGACGCGGAAGCCGUGCAGGAUGGUUUGCACGUGCUUGUCUCAAAGCACAAGACGGGUCGGUUCAAGAAAGCCGUUAUUGAGAUACCUGCCGAGAGAAAAGAACUGUUUUUCAGAUAAAAGGAAAUUCUAGCGAGGUUUUCUUCGCCUCCGUCGCUGGGUUUUCCAUUCUUGUCACCAACUAAAGGUUUCACGGAAAACACAAAUAUAUACCGUCGCUUAAACCGAUGGCUUUCUAAGAACAAUUUGCCACUUUUUACCUGCACCAAGCUCAGAAAAGCAGUUGAAACCAAUGCAGGUCUCUUUGCCUCCGAUUCAGACAGAAAGCUUGUCGGUUCAGGUUUAAACCACUCAGCAAAAACUGUAGAGAAGUCAUAUAACGUGCAGACAAUGUAAUAUAUACUAAACAUGAAGACAAAGCUUGUGGAAAGUUUUUCCUCUUUUGGUGCAAUUUUUUGUUGAUUAGCUGCAUACAGUAUUACGUACUUAAAACUUGCUUAGUAUUACUAUAAAAACUUA